Molecule: non-coding RNA, 817 nt
Organism: Macaca mulatta (Rhesus monkey)
Lineage: Eukaryota; Metazoa; Chordata; Mammalia; Primates; Cercopithecidae
Source: RefSeq, a predicted model, not a curated record
CCGCUCCGCCUCUCUCCAGGAACCGCUGCAUGGGACAGAGGCCACCCGCCAGCCUGCCUUGCCCUGGCCGGGCAACUAAAGAGAAUCUCGGCGCUCACCAUCGCAACUCUCUCCUCAGCCAUCUUGGCUCAGCCCACCACUGCGCGACCGGAAGUCGGCGGUUUCCCAGACAAGGAGGCAAGCGGAAGUUGUAGGACUGUGGAGGACGCUGAGGAGCCGGGGAAGGAAGUAAAUAGCCGAGUGACCUAAGGAAUCGGGGGAGAGUUAGGGUCUGCUCCACAGAAGGCUUACCUCUGAAAGAGUAGGGGAGGGAAUGCGCAGGCACUCGCUGCCUUUAUCCCGAGAAGCCCCUAACCCCUCUCGUCGUGGUCUGUACAUGGUGUGUACCUCCGGCCGCGCUGGCUGGAUAGGCCAGCCACCUGGGAUGUCAGCCUGUUUCUCCCGCCACCUGGCCGUGCCCUGACUCUAAUCUGCAUUUAAUUCAGUCCUCCUUCCGGGACCCUCGGGCGGAGAAUCUCAUUCUUGCCUUUGAAUUUGCAAACACGCUCCCGGUGGGCUCCGUUUGAGCAGCAGUCUUUUGAUCGGAAAUAUUUAAAAGUUAGGAGAUUUCGCAAGAAAUCGGCCAUGGGAUAAAGAGACGACAGUCGGCCUGCGUUUCUGCAAGACAGUGAAAUCGAUCUGAAUGGCGGCUGCGACUGUAAAUAAACAUUUCUUGGCCUUUUUACCACAGUCUUCCCUUCCUAGCAUACUUCAGGCGUUUUCCAGUGCCUGUCUGGCCCCAGGUGCGGUGAAUUAAAUGUUUAGUGUUUCUAAACCA